RNAcentral lists this ribosomal RNA (548 nucleotides) under uncultured archaeon. RNAcentral describes it as "bacterial SSU rRNA". It matches the Rfam family "Archaeal small subunit ribosomal RNA", at positions 331 to 879 of the family's 1478-position model. The record is from RNAcentral.
UGCAGCAGGCGCGAAAACUCUACAAUGCAGGCAGCUGCGAUAGGGGAACAUCGAGUGGCGUCCAUAUUGGAUGUCUGUCCUCCCGCCUAAAAAGCGGGAGUUAGCAAGGGCCGGGCAAGACCGGUGCCAGCCGCCGCGGUAAUACCGGCGGCUCGAGUGGUGGCCGAUAUUAUUGAGUCUAAAGGGUCCGUAGCCGGCUUUGCAAGUCUCUCGGGAAAUCCAGCGGCUUAACCGUUGGUCGUCCGGGGGGUACUACAUUGCUUGGGACUGGGAGAGGUAGGAGGUACUCAGGGGGUAGGAGUGAAAUCCUGUAAUCCUUUGGGGACCACCGGUGGCGAAGGCGUCCUACCAGAACAGGUCCGACGGUGAGGGACGAAAGCUAGGGGCACGAACCGGAUUAGAUACCCGGGUAGUCCUAGCCGUAAACGAUGCUCGCUAGGUGUCACAACAGUCGUGAACUGUUGUGGUGCCGUAGGGAAGCCGUGAAGCGAGCCACUUGGGAAGUACGACCGCAAGGUUGAAACUUAAAGGAAUUGGCGGGGGAGCAC